RNAcentral lists this ribosomal RNA (512 nucleotides) under uncultured bacterium. RNAcentral describes it as "partial 16S ribosomal RNA". It matches the Rfam family "Bacterial small subunit ribosomal RNA", at positions 28 to 507 of the family's 1533-position model. The record is from RNAcentral.
GAUGAACGCUGGCGGCGUGCCUAAUACAUGCAAGUCGAACGAAACUUCUUUAUCACCGAGUGCUUGCACUCACCGAUAAAGAGUUGAGUGGCGAACGGGUGAGUAACACGUGGGCAACCUGCCCAAAAGAGGGGGAUAACACUUGGAAACAGGUGCUAAUACCGCAUAACCAUAGUUACCGCAUGGUAACUAUGUAAAAGGUGGCUAUACUACCGCUUUUGGAUGGGCCCGCGGCGCAUUAGCUAGUUGGUAGGGUAAAGGCUUACCAAGGCAAUGCUGCGUAGCCGAAUUGAGAGGUUGAUCGGCCACAUUGGGACUGAGACACGGCCCAAACUCCUACGGGAGGCAGCAGUAGGGAAUCUUCCACAAUGGGCGAAAGCCUGAUGGAGCAACGCCGCGUGGGUGAAGAAGGUCUUCGGAUCGUAAAACCCUGUUGUUAGAGAAGAAAGUGCGUGAGAGUAACUGUUCACGUUUCGACGGUAUCUAACCAGAAAGCCACGGCUAACUACGUG